UAGGGAAUCUUCGGCAAUGGACGAAAGUCUGACCGAGCAACGCCGCGUGAGUGAAGAAGGUUUUCGGAUCGUAAAACUCUGUUGUUAGAGAAGAACAAGGACGUUAGUAACUGAACGUCCCCUGACGGUAACUAACCAGAAAGCCACGGCUAACUACGUGCCAGCAGCCGCGGUAAUACGUAGGUGGCAAGUGUUGUCCGGAUUUAUUGGGCGUAAAGCGAGCGCAGGCGGUUUCUUAAGUCUGAGGUGAAAGCCCCCGGCUCAACCGGGGGGGGUCAUUGAAAACUGGGAGACUUGGGUGCAGAAGAGGGGAGUGGAAUUCCAUGUGUAGCGGUGAAAUGCGUAGAUAUAUGGAGGACCACCAGUGGCGAAGGCGGCUCUCUGGUCUGUAACUGACGCUGAGGCUCGAAAGCGUGGGGAGCAAACAGG
RNAcentral lists this ribosomal RNA (429 nucleotides) under Gemmatimonadota bacterium. RNAcentral describes it as "Gemmatimonadetes bacterium partial 16S ribosomal RNA". It matches the Rfam family "Bacterial small subunit ribosomal RNA", at positions 355 to 776 of the family's 1533-position model. Lineage: Bacteria; Pseudomonadati; Gemmatimonadota. The record is from RNAcentral.